UACGUAGGGUGCAAGCGUUGUCCGGAAUUAUUGGGCGUAAAGAGCUCGUAGGCGGCUUGUCGCGUCGUCUGUGAAAUCCCGUGGCUCAACUGCGGGCUGGCAGUCGAUACGGGCAGGCUGGAGUUCGGUAGGGGAGACUGGAAUUCCUGGUGUAGCGGUGAAAUGCGCAGAUAUCAGGAGGAACACCGGUGGCGAAGGCGGGUCUCUGGGCCGAUACUGACGCUGAGGAGCGAAAGCGUGGGGAGCGAACAGG
RNAcentral lists this ribosomal RNA (253 nucleotides) under uncultured bacterium. RNAcentral's name for it is "partial 16S ribosomal RNA". It matches the Rfam family "Bacterial small subunit ribosomal RNA", at positions 524 to 776 of the family's 1533-position model. The record is from RNAcentral.